CGGAGGGAAACCGAGUCUUAACCGGGCGUUAAGUUGCAGGGUAUAGACCCGAAACCCGGUGAUCUAGCCAUGGGCAGGUUGAAGGUUGGGUAACACUAACUGGAGGACCGAACCGACUAAUGUUGAAAAAUUAGCGGAUGACCUGUGGCUGGGGGUGAAAGGCCAAUCAAACCGGGAGAUAGCUGGUUCUCCCCGAAAGCUAUUUAGGUAGCGCCUCGUGAAUUCAUCUCCGGGGGUAGAGCACUGUUUCGGCUAGGGGGCCAUCCCGGCUUACCAACCCGAUGCAAACUGCGAAUACCGGAGAAUGUUAUCACGGGAGACACACGGCGGGUGCUAACGUCCGUCGUGAAGAGGGAAACAACCCAGACCGCCAGCUAAGGUCCCAAAGUCAUGGUUAAGUGGGAAACGAUGUGGGAAGGCCCAGACAGCCAGGAUGUUGGCUUAGAAGCAGCCAUCAUUUAAAGAAAGCGUAAUAGCUCACUGGUCGAGUCGGCCUGCGCGGAAGAUGUAACGGGGCUAAACCAUGCACCGAAGCUGCGGCAGCGACACUGUGUGUUGUUGGGUAGGGGAGCGUUCUGUAAGCCUGUGAAGGUGUGUCGUGAGGCAUGCUGGAGGUAUCAGAAGUGCGAAUGCUGACAUAAGUAACGAUAAAGCGGGUGAAAAGCCCGCUCGCCGGAAGACCAAGGGUUCCUGUCCAACGUUAAUCGGGGCAGGGUGAGUCGACCCCUAAGGCGAGGCCGAAAGGCGUAGUCGAUGGGAAACGGGUUAAUAUUCCCGUACUUGGUGUUACUGCGAAGGGGGGACGGAGAAGGCUAUGUUGGCCGGGCGACGGUUGUCCCGGUUUAAGCGUGUAGGUGUGUGUUCCAGGUAAAUCCGGUUCACUUUAACACUGAGGCGUGAUGACGAGGCACUACGGUGCUGAAGCAACAAAUGCCCUGCUUCCAGGAAAAGCCUCUAAGCAUCAGGUAACAUCAAAUCGUACCCCAAACCGACACAGGUGGUCAGGUAGAGAAUACCAAGGCGCUUGAGAGAACUCGGGUGAAGGAACUAGGCAAAAUGGUGCCGUAACUUCGGGAGAAGGCACGCUGACACGUAGGUGAAGUGAUUUACUCAUGGAGCUGAAGUCAGUCGAAGAUACCAGCUGGCUGCAACUGUUUAUUAAAAACACAGCACUGUGCAAACACGAAAGUGGACGUAUACGGUGUGACGCCUGCCCGGUGCCGGAAGGUUAAUUGAUGGGGUCAGCGCAAGCGAAGCUCCUGAUCGAAGCCCCGGUAAACGGCGGCCGUAACUAUAACGGUCCUAAGGUAGCGAAAUUCCUUGUCGGGUAAGUUCCGACCUGCACGAAUGGCGUAAUGAUGGCCAGGCUGUCUCCACCCGAGACUCAGUGAAAUUGAACUCGCUGUGAAGAUGCAGUGUACCCGCGGCAAGACGGAAAGACCCCGUGAACCUUUACUAUAGCUUGACACUGAACAUUGAGCCUUGAUGUGUAG
Molecule: ribosomal RNA, 1493 nt
Filed under: Salmonella enterica subsp. enterica serovar Newport
Lineage: Bacteria; Pseudomonadati; Pseudomonadota; Gammaproteobacteria; Enterobacterales; Enterobacteriaceae
Description: partial 23S ribosomal RNA
Rfam family: Bacterial large subunit ribosomal RNA
Source: RNAcentral